GCUAUUGUGGCUCAGGGGUAGAGCAGCGCACUCGUAAUGCGCAGGUCGUGAGUUCGAAUCUCACCAAUAGCU
This 72-nucleotide transfer RNA is filed under the name Clostridiales bacterium. RNAcentral describes it as "tRNA-Thr". It matches the Rfam family "tRNA". From Rfam's summary of the family: Transfer RNA (tRNA) molecules are approximately 80 nucleotides in length. The record is from RNAcentral. Lineage: Bacteria; Bacillati; Bacillota; Clostridia; Eubacteriales.